This 70-nucleotide transfer RNA is filed under the name Dipodomys ordii (Ord's kangaroo rat). It matches the Rfam family "tRNA". From Rfam's summary of the family: Transfer RNA (tRNA) molecules are approximately 80 nucleotides in length. Their secondary structure includes four short double-helical elements and three loops (D, anti-codon, and T loops). Further hydrogen bonds mediate the characteristic L-shaped molecular structure. tRNAs have two regions of fundamental functional importance: the anti-codon, which is responsible for specific mRNA codon recognition, and the 3' end, to which the tRNAs corresponding amino acid is attached (by aminoacyl-tRNA synthetases). tRNAs cope with the degeneracy of the genetic code in two manners: having more than one tRNA (with a specific anti-codon) for a particular amino acid; and 'wobble' base-pairing, i.e. permitting non-standard base-pairing at the 3rd anti-codon position. Lineage: Eukaryota; Metazoa; Chordata; Mammalia; Rodentia; Heteromyidae. The record is from Rfam by way of RNAcentral.
GGGAACGUGGCUCAGUGGUAGAGUGCUUGCCUAGCAUGCAUGAAGUCCUGGGUUCAAUUCCCCAGUACCA